GAAAGGUGCGUAAAUAUUUAUUUGUGCAACAAGAGAGGAAAGUUGGUUUUUCUUGCGAGUGUUUAUUUUGAGUCCCGACGAAGCGAGUGAUUCUCAUUUAGAAUCUUGAGCGUAGC
Molecule: long non-coding RNA, 116 nt
Organism: Cydia splendana
Lineage: Eukaryota; Metazoa; Arthropoda; Insecta; Lepidoptera; Tortricidae
Exons: 2
Source: RefSeq, a predicted model, not a curated record